Molecule: ribosomal RNA, 404 nt
Filed under: uncultured fungus
Lineage: Eukaryota; Fungi
Description: SSU rRNA
Rfam family: Eukaryotic small subunit ribosomal RNA
Source: RNAcentral
UUGUCUUUCCGAUUUCGUUGGUUUCCGGGAUGGACGAUAAUGAUUAAUAGAGAUAGUUGGGGACAUUUAUAUUCCGUGGUCAGAGGUGAAAUUCUUGGAUUCACGGAAGAUAAACAAGUGCGAAAGCAUUUGUCAAGGAUGUUUUCAUUAAUCAAGAACGAAAGUUAGGGGAUCGAAGACGAUCAGAUACCGUCGUAGUCUUAACCAUAAACGAUGCGGACCAGGGAUUGGGAGACGUUACGUGGAUGACUCCCCCAGCACCUUAUGAGAAAUCAUAAGUCUUUGCGUUCCGGGGGGAGUAUGGUCGCAAGGCUGAAACUUAAAGGAAUUGACGGAAGGGCACCACCAGGAGUGGAGCCUGCGGCUUAAUUUGACUCAACACGGGGAAACUCACCAGGUCCAGA